UGGGGAAUUUUGCACAAUGGGGGAAACCCUGAUGCAGCGACGCCGCGUGAUUUAGAAGGCCUUCGGGUUGUAAAAAUCUUUUCUAUGGGAAGAAAAUGACAGUACCAUAGGAAUAAGGACCGGCUAAUUACGUGCCAGCAGCCGCGGUAAUACGUAAGGUCCGAGCGUUGUCCGGAAUCAUUGGGCGUAAAGGGUACGUAGGCGGGUAAGCAAGUUAGAAGUGAAAUCCUAUUGCUCAACUAUAGUAAGCUUUUAAAACUGCUCAUCUUGAGGUAUGGAAGGGAAAGUGGAAUUCCUAGUGUAGCGGUGAAAUGCGCAGAUAUUAGGAGGAAUACCGGUGGCGAAGGCGACUUUCUGGCCAUAACCUGACGCUGAGGUACGAAAGCGUGGGUAGCAAACAGG
This 402-nucleotide ribosomal RNA is filed under the name bacterium. RNAcentral's name for it is "partial 16S ribosomal RNA". It matches the Rfam family "Bacterial small subunit ribosomal RNA", at positions 355 to 776 of the family's 1533-position model. The record is from RNAcentral.